Molecule: ribosomal RNA, 634 nt
Filed under: Staphylococcus aureus
Lineage: Bacteria; Bacillati; Bacillota; Bacilli; Caryophanales; Staphylococcaceae
Description: partial 23S ribosomal RNA
Rfam family: Bacterial large subunit ribosomal RNA
Source: RNAcentral
GGAGAGCGUUCUAAGGGCGUUGAAGCAUGAUCGUAAGGACAUGUGGAGCGCUUAGAAGUGAGAAUGCCGGUGUGAGUAGCGAAAGACGGGUGAGAAUCCCGUCCACCGAUUGACUAAGGUUUCCAGAGGAAGGCUCGUCCGCUCUGGGUUAGUCGGGUCCUAAGCUGAGGCCGACAGGCGUAGGCGAUGGAUAACAGGUUGAUAUUCCUGUACCACCUAUAAUCGUUUUAAUCGAUGGGGGGACGCAGUAGGAUAGGCGAAGCGUGCGAUUGGAUUGCACGUCUAAGCAGUAAGGCUGAGUAUUAGGCAAAUCCGGUACUCAUUAAGGCUGAGCUGUGAUGGGGAGAAGACAUUGUGUCUUCGAGUCGUUGAUUUCACACUGCCGAGAAAAGCCUCUAGAUAGAAAAUAGGUGCCCGUACCGCAAACCGACACAGGUAGUCAAGAUGAGAAUUCUAAGGUGAGCGAGCGAACUCUCGUUAAGGAACUCGGCAAAAUGACCCCGUAACUUCGGGAGAAGGGGUGCUCUUUAGGGUUAACGCCCAGAAGAGCCGCAGUGAAUAGGCCCAAGCGACUGUUUAUCAAAAACACAGGUCUCUGCUAAACCGUAAGGUGAUGUAUAGGGGCUGACGCCUG